CGGGACACGUGGUAUCCUGUCUGAAUAUGGGGGGACCAUCCUCCAAGGCUAAAUACUCCUGACUGACCGAUAGUGAACCAGUACCGUGAGGGAAAGGCGAAAAGAACCCCGGCGAGGGGAGUGAAAAAGAACCUGAAACCGUGUACGUACAAGCAGUGGGAGCACAGAGCAAUCUGUGUGACUGCGUACCUUUUGUAUAAUGGGUCAGCGACUUAUAUUCUGUAGCAAGGUUAACCGAAUAGGGGAGCCGAAGGGAAACCGAGUCUUAACUGGGCGUUAAGUUGCAGGGUAUAGACCCGAAACCCGGUGAUCUAGCCAUGGGCAGGUUGAAGGUUGGGUAACACUAACUGGAGGACCGAACCGACUAAUGUUGAAAAAUUAGCGGAUGACUUGUGGCUGGGGGUGAAAGGCCAAUCAAACCGGGAGAUAGCUGGUUCUCCCCGAAAGCUAUUUAGGUAGCGCCUCGUGAAUUCAUCUCCGGGGGUAGAGCACUGUUUCGGCAAGGGGGUCAUCCCGACUUACCAACCCGAUGCAAACUGCGAAUACCGGAGAAUGUUAUCACGGGAGACACACGGCGGGUGCUAACGUCCGUCGUGAAGAGGGAAACAACCCAGACCGCCAGCUAAGGUCCCAAAGUCAUGGUUAAGUGGGAAACGAUGUGGGAAGGCCCAGACAGCCAGGAUGUUGGCUUAGAAGCAGCCAUCAUUUAAAGAAAGCGUAAUAGCUCACUGGUCGAGUCGGCCUGCGCGGAAGAUGUAACGGGGCUAAACCAUGCACCGAAGCUGCGGCAGCGACGCUUAUGCGUUGUUGGGUAGGGGAGCGUUCUGUAAGCCUGCGAAGGUGUGCUGUGAGGCAUGCUGGAGGUAUCAGAAGUGCGAAUGCUGACAUAAGUAACGAUAAAGCGGGUGAAAAGCCCGCUCGCCGGAAGACCAAGGGUUCCUGUCCAACGUUAAUCGGGGCAGGGUGAGUCGACCCCUAAGGCGAGGCCGAAAGGCGUAGUCGAUGGGAAACAGGUUAAUAUUCCUGUACUUGGUGUUACUGCGAAGGGGGGACGGAGAAGGCUAUGUUGGCCGGGCGACGGUUGUCCCGGUUUAAGCGUGUAGGCUGGUUUUCCAGGCAAAUCCGGAAAAUCAAGGCUGAGGCGUGAUGACGAGGCACUACGGUGCUGAAGCAACAAAUGCCCUGCUUCCAGGAAAAGCCUCUAAGCAUCAGGUAACAUCAAAUCGUACCCCAAACCGACACAGGUGGUCAGGUAGAGAAUACCAAGGCGCUUGAGAGAACUCGGGUGAAGGAACUAGGCAAAAUGGUGCCGUAACUUCGGGAGAAGGCACGCUGAUAUGUAGGUGAAGUCCCUCGCGGAUGGAGCUGAAAUCAGUCGAAGAUACCAGCUGGCUGCAACUGUUUAUUAAAAACACAGCACUGUGCAAACACGAAAGUGGACGUAUACGGUGUGACGCCUGCCCGGUGCCGGAAGGUUAAUUGAUGGGGUCAGCGCAAGCGAAGCUCUUGAUCGAAGCCCCGGUAAACGGCGGCCGUAACUAUAACGGUCCUAAGGUAGCGAAAUUCCUUGUCGGGUAAGUUCCGACCUGCACGAAUGGCGUAAUGAUGGCCAGGCUGUCUCCACCCGAGACUCAGUGAAAUUGAACUCGCUGUGAAGAUGCAGUGUACCCGCGGCAAGACGGAAAGACCCCGUGAACCUUUACUAUAGCUUGACACUGAACAUUGAGCCUUGAUGUGUAGGAUAGGUGGGAGGCUUGGAAGUGUGGACGCCAGUCUGCAUGGAGCCGACCUUGAAAUACCACCCUUUAAUGUUUGAUGUUCUAACGUUGACCCGUAAUCCGGGUUGCGGACAGUGUCUGGUGGGUAGUUUGACUGGGGCGGUCUCCUCCUAAAGAGUAACGGAGGAGCACGAAGGUUGGCUAAUCCUGGUCGGACAUCAGGAGGUUAGUGCAAUGGCAUAAGCCAGCUUGACUGCGAGCGUGACGGCGCGAGCAGGUGCGAAAGCAGGUCAUAGUGAUCCGGUGGUUCUGAAUGGAAGGGCCAUCGCUCAACGGAUAAAAGGUACUCCGGGGAUAACAGGCUGAUACCGCCCAAGAGUUCAUAUCGACGGCGGUGUUUGGCACCUCGAUGUCGGCUCAUCACAUCCUGGGGCUGAAGUAGGUCCCAAGGGUAUGGCUGUUCGCCAUUUAAAGUGGUACGCGAGCUGGGUUUAGAACGUCGUGAGACAGUUCGGUCCCUAUCUGCCGUGGGCGCUGGAGAACUGAGGGGGGCUGCUCCUAGUACGAGAGGACCGGAGUGGACGCAUCACUGGUGUUCGGGUUGUCAUGCCAAUGGCACUGCCCGGUAGCUAAAUGCGGAAGAGAUAAGUGCUGAAAGCAUCUAAGCACGAAACUUGCCCCGAGAUGAGUUCUCCCUGACUCCUUGAGAGUCCUGAAGGAACGUUGAAG
RNAcentral lists this ribosomal RNA (2447 nucleotides) under Escherichia coli. RNAcentral's name for it is "partial 23S ribosomal RNA". It matches the Rfam family "Bacterial large subunit ribosomal RNA", at positions 418 to 2843 of the family's 2925-position model. Lineage: Bacteria; Pseudomonadati; Pseudomonadota; Gammaproteobacteria; Enterobacterales; Enterobacteriaceae. The record is from RNAcentral.